Molecule: non-coding RNA, 106 nt
Organism: Gossypium arboreum
Lineage: Eukaryota; Viridiplantae; Streptophyta; Magnoliopsida; Malvales; Malvaceae
Source: Rfam
AAAUCCUGCAUCGGACAGUUUCGAAUUAAACCUUUAAAUCAUUCCCAAGCUUCAUAUAAAGUUUCAUUCUCUAACUUUAGAAAAGAUGUGAUGUCAUUUCUAAUCU